UUUAUAUAGAUCAUCUCAUUUCAUCCUCACGAUGGACCCAUGAAGUAGAUGUGACGGUCAUCUCCCUAUUACAGAAGAGGAGACCCUGGGAGGUCACAUGACUGGCCCCAGGCCACACAGGUAGGGGGCAAUGGCACCACAACCACAUGAUAUCACCUCUCAGAGUCCUGAGGAUAUUCUAGAUGCCAGAGAUUACGGGAGCCGGGGAAGGAAUCUGAAUGUGGGUUGGCACAGAGGGGAUGGGCCUGGAAAACCUGGACUUAUGCUGUUGUCAGUGGUGGUCACUGAGAGUCAGGAGGUGUGAGUUCCAGUCCCAGCUCAGCUAUUUUACGUGCUGCUGGUGGGAAGGUACUUCCAAGUAAUAAGAGGAAUAAAGUGCGGGGUGAAGGCAACACUGAAAACUUGAAACCCCAGGACCGGAGGAGGGUGAAAUAAAAACCUGUUUGGCAAAGACAGGCUCAAACCCCCAUGAGCUGUCUGGCUGUCUGAGGGCUGGCUGCUGGAAUCUCCCCAAAACCAUCCCUCGGGGCUCCUUUCUGAGCUUCUCCAGAGCAGAAUUGAGGUGUGGAGGAGCAUGACGGCCUCAGGUCAGCACACUGUACCAUGCACACAGGACGUAUGUUUCUUUGGUUUUAUUAUUACAAACACACCAUGGCUCUGUCACAAUAGGGAAAUCUAAGCUCUACAUACC
This 691-nucleotide long non-coding RNA is filed under the name Homo sapiens (human). Its description in RNAcentral is "HSALNT0094843". Lineage: Eukaryota; Metazoa; Chordata; Mammalia; Primates; Hominidae. The record is from RNAcentral.